This 511-nucleotide ribosomal RNA is filed under the name uncultured bacterium. Its description in RNAcentral is "bacterial SSU rRNA". It matches the Rfam family "Bacterial small subunit ribosomal RNA", at positions 30 to 526 of the family's 1533-position model. The record is from RNAcentral.
AUUGAACGCUGGCGGCAGGCCUAACACAUGCAAGUCGAGCGGCAGCGGGGAAGUAGCUUGCUACUUUUGCCGGCGAGCGGCGGACGGGUGAGUAAUGCCUGGGAAAUUGCCCAGUCGAGGGGGAUAACAGUUGGAAACGACUGCUAAUACCGCAUACGCCCUACGGGGGAAAGCAGGGGACCUUAGGGCCUUGCGCGAUUGGAUAUGCCCAGGUGGGAUUAGCUAGUUGGUGAGGUAAUGGCUCACCAAGGCGACGAUCCCUAGCUGGUCUGAGAGGAUGAUCAGCCACACUGGAACUGAGACACGGUCCAGACUCCUACGGGAGGCAGCAGUGGGGAAUAUUGCACAAUGGGGGAAACCCUGAUGCAGCCAUGCCGCGUGUGUGAAGAAGGCCUUCGGGUUGUAAAGCACUUUCAGCGAGGAGGAAAGGCCAGUAGCUAAUAUCUGCUGGCUGUGACGUUACUCGCAGAAGAAGCACCGGCUAACUCCGUGCCAGCCGCCGCCGUAACAC